CCUACGGGAGACAGCAGUGGGGAAUAUUGCGCAAUGGGCGAAAGCCUGACGCAGCGACGCCGCGUGAGGGAUGAAGGUCUUCGGAUCGUAAACCUCUGUCAGCAGGGAAGAACGGUCACUGUGCUAAUCAGCAGUGAAUUGACGGUACCUGCAAAGGAAGCACCGGCUAACUCCGUGCCAGCAGCCGCGGUAAUACGGAGGGUGCGAGCGUUAAUCGGAAUUACUGGGCGUAAAGCGCUCGUAGGCGGUAUGGCAAGUCAAGGGUGAAAUCCCCGCGCUCAACGUGGGAACUGCCUUUGAAACUGGCAAACUGGAGUGUGUGAGAGGAUAGUGGAAUUCCAGGUGUAGGAGUGAAAGCCGUAGAUAUCUGGAGGAACAUCAGUGGCGAAGGCGACUAUCUGGCACAUAACUGACGCUGAGGAGCGAAAGCGUGGGUAGCAAACAGGAUUAGAUACCCUGGUAGUC
This 465-nucleotide ribosomal RNA is filed under the name uncultured bacterium. RNAcentral's name for it is "partial 16S ribosomal RNA". It matches the Rfam family "Bacterial small subunit ribosomal RNA", at positions 338 to 795 of the family's 1533-position model. The record is from RNAcentral.